RNAcentral lists this ribosomal RNA (338 nucleotides) under Listeria monocytogenes. RNAcentral's name for it is "partial 23S ribosomal RNA". It matches the Rfam family "Bacterial large subunit ribosomal RNA", at positions 1 to 339 of the family's 2925-position model. The record is from RNAcentral. Lineage: Bacteria; Bacillati; Bacillota; Bacilli; Caryophanales; Listeriaceae.
GGUUAAGUUAGAAAGGGCGCACGGUGGAUGCCUUGGCACUAGGAGCCGAAGAAGGACGGGACUAACACCGAUAUGCUUUGGGGAGCUGUACGUAAGCGUUGAUCCAGAGAUUUCCGAAUGGGGGAACCCACUAUCUUUAGUCGGAUAGUAUCCUUACGUGAAUACAUAGCGUGAGGAAGGCAGACCCAGGGAACUGAAACAUCUAAGUACCUGGAGGAAGAGAAAGAAAAAUCGAUUUCCUGAGUAGCGGCGAGCGAAACGGAAAGAGCCCAAACCAAGAAGCUUGCUUCUUGGGGUUGUAGGACACUCUAUACGGAGUUACAAAAGAAAGUUAUAAA